Molecule: ribosomal RNA, 401 nt
Filed under: uncultured bacterium
Lineage: Bacteria
Description: bacterial SSU rRNA
Rfam family: Bacterial small subunit ribosomal RNA
Source: RNAcentral
UAUUGGACAAUGGGCGAAAGCCUGAUCCAGCAAUACCGCGUGUGUGAAGAAGGCCUUAGGGUUGUAAAGCACUUUCAAUUGGGAGGAAAACCUGCCGGUCAAUACCCGGUAGCUUGACAUUACCUUUAGAAGAAGCACCGGCUAACUCCGUGCCAGCAGCCGCGGUAAUACGGAGGGUGCGAGCGUUAAUCGGAAUUACUGGGCGUAAAGCGUGCGUAGGCGGUUCGUUAAGUCAGAUGUGAAAGCCCUGGGCUCAACCUGGGAACUGCAUUUGAAACUGGCGGACUAGAGUUUAGUAGAGGGGAGUGGAAUUUCAGGUGUAGCGGUGAAAUGCGUAGAUAUCUGAAGGAACACCAGUGGCGAAGGCGACUCCCUGGACUAGAACUGACGCUGAGUACGAA